AUUGAACGCUGGCGGCAGGCUUAACACAUGCAAGUCGAGCGGGGAAGGGUAGCUUGCUACCUGACCUAGCGGCGGACGGGUGAGUAAUGCUUAGGAAUCUGCCUAUUAGUGGGGGACAACAUUCCGAAAGGAAUGCUAAUACCGCAUACGCCCUACGGGGGAAAGGCAGGGGAGUCUUCGGACCUUGCGCUAAUAGAUGAGCCUAAGUCAGAUUAGCUAGUUGGUGGGGUAAAGGCCUACCAAGGCGACGAUCUGUAGCGGGUCUGAGAGGAUGAUCCGCCACACUGGGACUGAGACACGGCCCAGACUCCUACGGGAGGCAGCAGUGGGGAAUAUUGGACAAUGGGCGAAAGCCUGAUCCAGCCAUGCCGCGUGUGUGAAGAAGGCCUUUUGGUUGUAAAGCACUUUAAGCGAGGAGGAGGCUACUUGGAUUAAUACUCUAGGAUAGUGGACGUUACUCGCAGAAUAAGCAACCGGCUAACUCUGUGCCAGCAGCCGC
Molecule: ribosomal RNA, 499 nt
Filed under: uncultured bacterium
Lineage: Bacteria
Description: bacterial SSU rRNA
Rfam family: Bacterial small subunit ribosomal RNA
Source: RNAcentral